AGAAGUAUUUUUGUGAGUUUCAAGAGUAGCAUUAUUUGAAGUAAUUAAAUUUACCUUCGUUGUGAUGUUGCUCUCUUCUGUUUGCUUCGUUGUGAUGUUGUUCUCUUCUGUUUGUAAAAGUGCAUCUUGGCCUCUUGCCUCUUCUUCCAUGCGGAUUUUCAUUAUCAAGGUUUCAAGGGAGGUUUCCUUUUGUUUGUGGCGCAUAGUUUUUUGAAAUUCCUUCCAAGAAGGUGGAAGUUUAUCCACUAUGCCACAAACAAUAAG
Molecule: long non-coding RNA, 264 nt
Filed under: Solanum tuberosum (potato)
Lineage: Eukaryota; Viridiplantae; Streptophyta; Magnoliopsida; Solanales; Solanaceae
Description: long non-coding RNA (STUB_LNC011233)
Source: RNAcentral